UUUCACCACCAUUACUACUUUCGCACUUUCACGUGGAUGCCACAAUUAAUUCGGAUUAAAGUUUGAGGAUGGGUGUAUUGGAACUGCCGUCAGAAUGUGUGAACAUACAGCCAGGAUUGAUUGGACUUUUCCUCAUUGUUCAUGGAUAAGGGUGCUGGUUUGAAGAACAAGUUGCCUGCAGACUGUGCUAAACCUGAUGCCUUUUUAGACAGAGCUCGUAACCGUGUCCACCAGACAUGCUGUGUGCCUGCUCCAACUACAUACAAAAACUGGAUUGGGAUGAGACAAACGGCCAUGGCAGCUCUCGGAGCAAAACAAUUCAACAUUUGGAGAAGACAUUGGAUAAACAACAAGAAGAUUGUGCAGAUAUAGGAUUCAACUCAGUGUAAACAAUCAUUGUAAUAUAAUAAAACUUUCACAAGGGAUGUAUUCAUCAAAUCUGGAAAAACAAUAGUUUCACAAGAACAAAACAUUCCUGUAUGAUGGGUUUAAUGGUAUGAUAGUGGUAAUGGAAGAACAGAACUUUCACAGAUGAUGGAUUCAACUCAGAAAAAGAAUAGUAAAGCACAAACAGAAGUUUCACAAAUAAACGGGUUCAACUCUAGAAAAACGGGAAAGUGAAAACAGAACUUUUAAGACUUCAAGGAUCAACACUUGAAAACAGUAUUAAAGCAAAAGCAAAACAAAACAGAUCAAGGAUUCACUACCAGAAAAAAUUACGAUAUAAGCAAGAACGGCCACACACAAAGUAUUCAUCUCGGGGAAAAACAGUGGUUGUACAAAUACCAGCUUUUGCUGAUUGAGUUUCAGAAAAAAGAACUGUGCAAGAACCAGCGAUUUUGCCUUCUCUAUAAAGUACCCUUAAAAGGACCUUUUCCAAAUUCUAAAAGCAGCAAGUUUUUUCCCAAGCAAAAAAAGACAAAGAAAACUUGUCAAAUUGUCUAGUGGUUUGGUAUUGACUUGUACAUGCAACAGAAAUUUUAAGUUUGCAGAUAUUAAUGAUUGCUUGCAAUUUUAUAUUCAGUAUGAACAGGCCAAUGCCGCAAUUCUUCCCAGUUCAGCUGGUACCAGACCUCUUCCAAAAGUGGCAAAAAAAUUGCAUACAACAAACAUAUUUUCAGACAGAUGACGGUAUUGAUUGUAUAUGCUGUGUUAUUCGUUGUCAGAAAAAAGAUAGAAGACAUUAGCAUUACCAGUUAUUAGCAAGAAGCAGAAAUAUAUAAAUGAAGAACAGAAAGAACUCUAAAAUGCAUUGAAGAAUUCAUUUUGUCUUGAUAUACUGAACAUAGGUUUAAAGUGGAACAUGCAAGAAACACAAGGGGAAUUGGAAUGUCGGAGUAAUUGUAGAUUCAUUGUUAUGUGAUGAACAGAUUCUUGAUGAAGUGGGACAGCAAGUUUGACAUUUUGGUUUACUGUGUUUUUCUAAAGUUUGCGUGAAAGUAACUUCAUUUGGUUUGGAAAUACAAAGAAACAAGUAAGUGUUAAAAGAUAGCCCUGAAGACACACCUUUAAGUUUAAGCUGAAGAGGUAAGUUUGUAGAUAUAUAGUUAGUUGUCAAAUUAUCUUUCAAGAAGAGAACACCAGAUGUAAUGUUUUCACAAGCAGCAAGAUAAAAGUGACAAGUACAAACUAGUGUUUCCAGUUGAAAGAUAAGUUGAGAAGAAAUGGCAAGAAUAUGUACAGGCCUUUCCAUGACAUUUGUGAAUACCUGUACUGGUGACCUUAUAAUUAUUGCAUCAAAAGUAGUUUGAAUUACUGGAAACUCUUUUAUUUUGUUUUGUUCAUGCAGAAACUUAGAAACUAGUAGAAAUUCAUUUAAGUAUAUUAAUAUCUAAGACAAACCAGUUUCUACCAUAUCUUAAAAUAAAUGUCUGGUCAUAACAGCUGAAAUUCCAGAACAUCCUUCAGGUGUUUUGUUGCAAAUGGUAUGUGAUGGAACCAAAAAUGCUUGGUUGAAUUAUUUUUUUGUAAAAACUUUGGAGUAUUUAUAGGUAUGAUAUCAAGUGAUGGAUUUGCACAAGGCCAUACCAUAUUGAUUAAUAGUUCUUAAGAAAAUUUUCAAAAAAGGAUAUAGUGAGCGAAAUUUCUAUUUUAUUUUUUUUCUCAAUUUUGGUUUUUUCAGGGGCAGGUAGACUUUACAUGGAGCGAGUGUUUUUUUAAAAAAAAAAAAUCCCAGCUCGGACCCUUGAGAAGGCGGUUAUGGUUAUACAUGAAGUUAACAUUUCUUUUGAAAUAACAGAGAAAUUAAUCAUUUACAGUGUGACUAACACAGUUUAUAGCUUCUCUGUAUGUUUUAAAGACUACAUGAAUGAAUUUGCAAAUAAAUUCUUGCCAAAACUCACAGAAUCACUUUUUAUUUUGCGUUUAUAAUGACUUAAGAGAUGAGUGUCUUAUUUUUAAUUUUGAUUUUUCUACAUAAAUCAUUUCAGUCAAAAAUGAUGAUAAUCGGACAAAGAAUGAUCCCAAUAUGACCACCCUUAAAAGUGUUAUUCGUUGCGCUUUGAUUGACCUAGAGAUUUAGACUGUGGCCGAGUGGUUAAGGUCGCUGAAUUCAAAUCACUUGCCCCUCAUCGAUGUGGGAUUGAGCCUCACUUUGGGCGUUUAAUUCUUCAUGUGGGGAAGCCAUCCAGCUGGCUUACGGAAGGUCGGUAGUUCUACCCAGGUGCCCGCUCGUGAUGAAGUAAUGCACGGAAGGGCACCUGGGGUCUUCCUCCACCAUUAAAGCUGGAAAGUCGCCAUAUGACCUAUAAUUGUGUCGGUGCGACGUUAAAUCCAAACAAAGUGUGUGGCACAUUAGCACAGACACUCAAGAUUUAAAACAAAUGAUGAACAACACCAUAAUUCCUGACUUUUUUAGUUUGGGUCAUCAGCUACAUAUAUUAUGGACCCGCGAAUUCCAAUCAUUGUCACUUUGACGCAUUAAAACAGCGGUAAAUCCUGUUUUGCCGUUAUCAUUCCGGACCUCGUAAUCAGAAAAAGAUCAGAGAUUUUUAUGUACGUACAAGCGGGUUAAUUCAUUUUUUUUUCUUGGGUAUGAAAUUAUUAUGCGGUAUUUACAUUGAACGACAAAUCAUUUUGGUAUGGCUUAAUGUGUAGCAAAAAUGAUGUGAAAUAUAAAUGAUAUGAAAUAUACAGACAAUGUAUGACGGCUCCAUACUGAUUUCAGGUUUUUGAUGUCAUUUGUCUAAAUGUGUCCAGAGACUUACCUAAAACCAUUGUAAUUCUUGAAAUCUGUUUAAGAUCUAAAGGCUAAAAGAAUAAUUGUUAUCAUAAAAGAUUUUGCUGUCUUAAUUGCGAUUUUUUCCUGACAAAUACCAGUUUUAUCAUGGAACAGCCAAUAUAUAUUCCAUGUGUUAUCAGUGGCUUUAUUGAACCCCCCGACAACAAAGUUGUAAGAGGCGGGGGGGGGGGGGAAGUAUACUGGUUUCAGGUUGUCUGUCUGUCUGUCCGUAGAAGCAGCCUUGUGCGCACCAUCUCUCCUUAUCCCCUUGACAGAAUUUAAUGAAACUUCACACAUGUGUUCAGUACCAACAGUAGUUGUGCAUGGGGCAUGUUAGGUUCUUUUAGAAAAAAAAAAGCAGAGUUGUGGGACUUUGUUUUUUGUUACUAUACUAUAUACAUAGACACAAUCUUGUGUGCACCAUCUCUCCUCACCCCAUUGACACAAUUUAAUGAAACUUCACACAAGUGAUCAGUAACAAAAGUAGUUGUGCACGGGGCAUGUUAGGUUCUUUCAGAGAUUAAAAAUUGCAGAGUUAUGGGACUGUUUUUUUGUUACUAUACUAUAUACAUAGACACAAUCUUGUGCGCACCAUCUCUCCUCAUCCCCUUGACACAAUUUAAUGAAACUUCACACAAGUGAUCAGUAACAACAGUAGUUGUGCAUGGGGCAUGUUAGGUUCUUUCAGCGACAAAAAUUGCAUAGUUAUGGGACUUUGUUUCUUGUUAACAUACUAUGUACAUACAGUCUGCAUAUGCAAUCUUGUGCGUGCCUAAUCUACCAAACCCUUACACACAAUUUAAUGAAACUUCACACAAGUGAUCAGUACCAACCCUAGUUAUGCAUGGUGCAUGUUACAUUCUUUUAGAUAAAUAUUCUGGGACUUUGUUUUUUGUUUCUAUAUUGUAUACAUACAGUCUAUAAACAUACAGUCCACAUAAUUAUGCAAUCUUGUGUGCGUCAAAUUGCAAUGUACUGUGCCAGUGCAUGCGGGGGGUACAUUCAUCACCUUUAGUGAUAGCUCUAGUUAAUUAAGAUAUAUACAAAGCUUGUUACAUCAGUGUCAAAAUCAAAAUUUGUCAGGAGGUACCUAAUUAGAAAUCUGUAGUUUUGAGCUCACCUGAGCACGAAGUGCUCAAAGGUGAGCUUUUGUGAUCGCCCUUUGUCCAUCGUCCGUCGGCGUCUCUAAAAAAAGUUUACACUCUAGAGAUCACAAUUUUGGCCCAAUCUUAAUGAAAAUUGUUACUCUCAAUGAAAUCUUGGACAAGUUUGAUAUUGGGUCAUCUGGGAUCAAAAACUAGGUCACCAGGUCAAGUCAAAGGAAAACCUUGAUAACACUCUGGAGGUUACAAUUUUGGCCUAAUGUUAAUGAAACUUGGUCAGAAUGUUACCUUCAAUAAAAUCUUGGACAAGUUUGGUCAUCUGGGGUCAAAAACAAGGUCACCAGGUCAAAUCAAAGGAAAAGCUUGCUAACACUCUAGAGGUCACAUUUUUGGUCCAGUUUAAAUGAAACUUAGUCAGAAUGUUAUCCUCAAUAAAGUCUUGUGUACGAGUUCCACAGUAGGUCAUCUGGGGUACUAAAAUAAGGUCACUAGGUCGAAUCAACGGAAAAACUUGUUAACACUCUAGAGGUAACAAUUGUGGCCUAAUCUUAAUUAAACUUUGUCAGAAUGUUACGUCAAUGAAUUAAAUCUUGGACGAGUGCGAUAUUGGGUUAUCUUGGGGUUAAAAACAGGAGACCAUGUCAGAUCAAAGGAAAAGGUUCUUAACACUGCAGAGGCCACAUCUAUGACUGCAUCGUGAUGAAACUUGGCCAGAAUGUUAAUCUUGAUGAUUUCAAGGUCUUGUUUGAAUCUGGACCAUUUAGAAUAAACCAGGUCACCAGGUCAAAUCACAAGAAAAGCUAGUUAACACUGUAGAGGCCACAUUUAUGACCAUAUCAUAAUGAAACUUAAUCAGAAUGUUAAUCUUGAUGAUUUAUAGGUCACAAUCAAAUCUUGGUUAGGUGGGGUCAAAAACUAGGUUACUAGGUCAAAUCAAAGGAAAAGCUUGUUCACACUCUAGAGGCCACAUUUAUGACAGUAUCUUCGUGAAUCUUGGUCAGAAUGUUAAUCUUUCAUGAUUGAAUCUGGGUCACGUGUGUCAAAACUAGGUCAGCGGGUCAAGUCAAAGGAAAACCUAGUUAACACUUUCGAGGUCAUAUUUAUGUCCAUGAAUCUUGGUCAGAAUGUUAAUCUUUUCAAUAUUUAGGUGAUGUUUAAAUCUGGGUCACGUGUGGUCAGAAACAAGGUCAACCGCCCAAAUCAAAGGAAAAGCUAGUUAACACUUUAGAGGCCACAUUUAUGUCCAUAUCCUUAAUGAAACUUGGAUAGAAUGUUAAUCUUGAGGAUCUUUAGGUCAAAAGAUCAGGUGAGAGAUACAGGGCCUUCACGGCCCUUUUGUUAAAUUUUUGAAUGAACAGUUGUUGGAUAUAUUAAAGCAAACACUCUCGAUGUUGUGCAUUUAAUUCAUGGAGAGAAUUUUUGUUUGUAUAUUGGUUACCAUGGUUAGUAACCCACUAAAAAGCCUAGAAUAAUAAAAGUUGCAACAAUGUUUUUAUGCCCCCGAAGGGAGGCAUAUAGUUUUUGAACCGUCUGUCUGUCUGUCGGUCUGUCAGUCUGUCGGUCUGUCAGUCUGUCCGCAAUUUUCGUGUCCGGUCCAUAUCUUUGUCAUCGAUGGAUGGAUUUUCAAAUAACUUGGCAUGAAUGUGUACCACAGUAAGACGACGUGCAGUGCGCAAGACCCAGGUCCGUAGCUCAAAGGUCAAGGUCACACUUAGACGUUAAAGGAUAGUGCAUUGAUGGGCGUGUCCGGUCCAUAUCUUUGUCAUUGAUGGAUGGAUUUUCAAAUAACUAUGCAUGAAUGUGAACCACAGUAAGACGACGUGCAGUGCGCAAGACCCAGGUCCGUAGCUCAAAGGUCAAGGUCACACUUAGACGUUAAAGGAUAGUGCAUUGAUGGGCGUGUCCAGUCCAUAUCUUUGUCAUCGAUGGAUGGAUUUUCAAAUAACUUGGCAUGAAUGUGUACCACAAUAAGACGACUGUCACA
Long non-coding RNA from Mercenaria mercenaria, 6307 nucleotides. RefSeq lists it as uncharacterized. The transcript has 4 exons. The record is from RefSeq and is a predicted model, not a curated record. Lineage: Eukaryota; Metazoa; Mollusca; Bivalvia; Venerida; Veneridae.